AUGCCCCGCCUUUUUCUAUCCCCCACUAGGGUCUUCUGGAUCGGCCCCGAUCCUUCCAGACACUUCCACCCCCCCGCUAUAAAAGGCCGGCGAGCGCCACCAGACCCACCAUCAGCGCUCGCACGCACGCACCCAACAACCCCCGUUCUGGCUGGAUGGUGGCCGGAGCUCGCGGAGGACUCGAGAUAUGCAUGUGGCGGCACCGAGCAUGAGGCAACAACUGCAUUACUUGCGGGGAAGGCGCAAGUAGGACACCUGCAUUACUUGCAAACAAGGCGCAAAAUUAAUAGAAGAUCACCAUACUUGUGGCUUUCUUGCAAGUCAUGCAGUUGCUGCCUCAAGCUUGCUGCCUCCCUUUGCCAAAGCUAUCAGAAAAAACAUAAAGUUCUGUUAGUUUCCCUAAACUUUAAAAACAUAAAGUUCUGUUAG
This 429-nucleotide ribosomal RNA is filed under the name Triticum aestivum (bread wheat). Its description in RNAcentral is "partial small subunit ribosomal RNA". The stretch from base 189 to 361 matches the Rfam family "MIR444 microRNA precursor family". The record is from RNAcentral. Lineage: Eukaryota; Viridiplantae; Streptophyta; Magnoliopsida; Poales; Poaceae.